UACGGGAGGCAGCAGUGGGGAAUAUUGCACAAUGGGCGCAAGCCUGAUGCAGCCAUGCCGCGUGUAUGAAGAAGGCCUUCGGGUUGUAAAGUACUUUCAGUCGUGAGGAAGGUGUUAGGGUUAAUAACCUUAGCAAUUGACGUUAGCGACAGAAGAAGCACCGGCUAACUCCGUGCCAGCAGCCGCGGUAAUACGGAGGGUGCGAGCGUUAAUCGGAAUUACUGGGCGUAAAGGGCACGCAGGCGGUUAAUUAAGUUGGAUGUGAAAUCCCCGGGCUUAACCUGGGAAUGGCAUUCAAGACUGGUUAGCUAGAGUCUUGUAGAGGGGGUAGAAUUCCAUGUGUAGCGGUGAAAUGCGUAGAGAUGUGGAGGAAUACCGGUGGCGAAGGCGGCCCCUGGACAAAGACUGACGCUCAUGUGCGAAAGCGUGGGGAGCAAACAGGGAUUAGAUACC
Molecule: ribosomal RNA, 453 nt
Filed under: uncultured bacterium
Lineage: Bacteria
Description: bacterial SSU rRNA
Rfam family: Bacterial small subunit ribosomal RNA
Source: RNAcentral